This is a long non-coding RNA of Pungitius pungitius (ninespine stickleback), 1140 nucleotides long. RefSeq lists it as uncharacterized. The transcript is spliced from 11 exons. Lineage: Eukaryota; Metazoa; Chordata; Actinopteri; Perciformes; Gasterosteidae. The record is from RefSeq and is a predicted model, not a curated record.
CUGAGCACAUUGUGGCUUAAUGCUAAGUCAGCCUAACUUGUUCUUUAUGAAAGAAAACUAAAGCAUAUGGCGAACUCAUCAGUUACUGGUGUUUCUCGUUAAUGAAUUACUUUUUUUUUGAGGCUAGCUGGCAUUGCGCAGCGCUUUAUUGACUACACUCGUUCAUCACAAUCUGGAACCAUCCGGCACUAAAACGUGUUUAUUUAACCUGAGGAUUUGCAUGGACAUGAACUGCAACAUGCUUAAUUUAUAUAGUUUAGUAUUUAACGUUUAAACACAUUUUUUAACACACUUGUGUGCAAGCUAUGGCCCCUGCAGGCUCGUUGUGCGCUACCAGCAGUGUCUCUCAAUGAUGAUAAUUACAGACCUGUACUGAAUGACUGUGACUGUAACUUAAUUAUUCUGAUGCGAGACACUUGUUAGCCGCAUAACUUUAUUACAACUGUAACAUCUCUGUAUCGGCCACCUCGUGCCGACGGAGCGGCCACGUGUUUUCGGGAGUUAGCCUCCCAGCUAACAUCGCGCCAUGCUAAAAGUCGGUGUCUUCUCUGGUCAACAGAUGGCGAGCAAACCUUCAGAGACCUUCUUUACGAGUCUUAAAGACAACGUGGUCGAUCAUCCCCCUCCUUAAACCCGAGCUCUUUACAUGAGAUGUUCGUGGGUGAUUGCAGAAGAGCAGCCAGAAUGAAGGACAUCAGCAGGUGGUCCUGCACUGUUCCAUACUCAACUCUGCCAAUGAAGAACAUCAUGAUUAUUAACUCCUCGCCAUGAUUGUGGUCUAGGAAACGGUGUACUGACUUUGAAAGAUGAUGUCAUCGUCUUAACAGUUUGUCCAGGAUCGUGCUGCCUGACAAGCAAAGCAAUCUGAAUCAUGAUGUCAACCUCUAUGCUGAACGAAGUUUGAGGUCAUCCGGAUUGCCAUGAGUUGUUUGGUUCUGACCUCUGGUGUGGUGACCAGCAGACUCGUCCCACUGCAGCAGGAAUGGUGAUUUGUACUCUGGAUCGUGAAGCUGGGAAUGGGCCGAUUGUUGCAGGAUCUGCUUUGGGGUUGAAGGUUGGGGCACAUCGUGGACCUGUUGUUGUGAUGCUGUUACAAGAAUACUAUUUCAGAAACUUAUAGAUUAAAUAUCUUGCACAGGC